RNAcentral lists this ribosomal RNA (522 nucleotides) under Janthinobacterium sp. BJB312. Its description in RNAcentral is "bacterial SSU rRNA". It matches the Rfam family "Bacterial small subunit ribosomal RNA", at positions 1010 to 1533 of the family's 1533-position model. The record is from RNAcentral. Lineage: Bacteria; Pseudomonadati; Pseudomonadota; Betaproteobacteria; Burkholderiales; Oxalobacteraceae.
GGGAGUGCUCGAAAGAGAACCAGUACACAGGUGCUGCAUGGCUGUCGUCAGCUCGUGUCGUGAGAUGUUGGGUUAAGUCCCGCAACGAGCGCAACCCUUGUCAUUAGUUGCUACGAAAGGGCACUCUAAUGAGACUGCCGGUGACAAACCGGAGGAAGGUGGGGAUGACGUCAAGUCCUCAUGGCCCUUAUGGGUAGGGCUUCACACGUCAUACAAUGGUACAUACAGAGCGCCGCCAACCCGCGAGGGGGAGCUAAUCGCAGAAAGUGUAUCGUAGUCCGGAUUGUAGUCUGCAACUCGACUGCAUGAAGUUGGAAUCGCUAGUAAUCGCGGAUCAGCAUGUCGCGGUGAAUACGUUCCCGGGUCUUGUACACACCGCCCGUCACACCAUGGGAGCGGGUUUUACCAGAAGUAGGUAGCUUAACCGUAAGGAGGGCGCUUACCACGGUAGGAUUCGUGACUGGGGUGAAGUCGUAACAAGGUAGCCGUAUCGGAAGGUGCGGCUGGAUCACCUCCUUUCUA